UACAGAGGGUGCGAGCGUUAAUCGGAAUUACUGGGCGUAAAGCGUGCGCAGGCGGUUUGCUAAGACCGAUGUGAAAUCCCCGGGCUUAACCUGGGAACUGCAUUGGUGACUGGCAGGCUAGAGUAUGGCAGAGGGGGGGUAGAAUUCCACGUGUAGCAGUGAAAUGCGUAGAGAUGUGGAGGAAUACCGAUGGCGAAGGCAGCCCCCUGGGCCAAUACUGACGCUCAUGCACGAAAGCGUGGGGAGCAAACAGG
RNAcentral lists this ribosomal RNA (254 nucleotides) under uncultured bacterium. RNAcentral's name for it is "partial 16S ribosomal RNA". It matches the Rfam family "Bacterial small subunit ribosomal RNA", at positions 524 to 776 of the family's 1533-position model. The record is from RNAcentral.